Molecule: non-coding RNA, 73 nt
Organism: Bos taurus (domestic cattle)
Lineage: Eukaryota; Metazoa; Chordata; Mammalia; Artiodactyla; Bovidae
Source: Rfam
UCCCUGGUGGUCCAGUGGCUAAGACUUAGCACUCCCAAUGCAGGGGGCCUGGGUUCAAUCCCUGGUCAGGGAU